CCAUGGUGCUGAUGUGGAUCUUCAGCCUAAGCCAGAAUCUGCUGAUACGCUGCCUGUGUCAUUGUUUCACCGUGCCUGCACAGAGCCUCAGUCAGAGCCAGGAACAACACAUGUACCGCCUCUGCCUAUGGUGUCCUCACCUGCAAGCGCUCGUACUGGACCUGUGAAGACUGGUGGAAGGGUGUUUGUGCUAGACC
Molecule: long non-coding RNA, 197 nt
Organism: Triplophysa dalaica
Lineage: Eukaryota; Metazoa; Chordata; Actinopteri; Cypriniformes; Nemacheilidae
Exons: 3
Source: RefSeq, a predicted model, not a curated record